UUGUGAGUAUACUUUGAGUGUUGCUAUACGGUGCGGGUUUCUGUCAGCACUAUACCGAAAUUCAGUCAGAAGUACGGUUAUUUUGAGGUAAGGGGUAUUAUUUUCUUCUUAAAUGAUAUUUUUUCUUCAAUAUCAUUAUGCCGAAGUAUUGGUGAACUUUUUUAUCAAAUUUGGAACUUGUUGUGUCGGGGUUACUAUUCACGUAUACGGCACUAUUCACGUAUACGACACUAUUCACGAAUACGGCACUAUUCACCGAAAAAUAAAAAUUUUUCUUUUUGUCCAAAAUAUCUAUUCUGGAUACUAGCUUUGAUUGUAUCCAUGUUUUGAUCAUUCUUGAAUUUUACACCAAUAUGAUUAUUUUCGAAGUAUUUUUGGACAUGGGUAAAACAAAGUACGAAUCCUUAAUCCUUAAUCCUUGUCAUUUUGUUUCACUGGAUUCGUUUCUUUAAAAAUGUUUUUCAUCAUCCUCAGUCCUAAAUGGUGAUAUAAAUGAAUAUCUUUGGCCUGUAGUGCAAAGAUGAACGAUUAACUGAUGAAUAUCUUUGGCCUGUAGUGCAAAGAUGAACAGGUGUUGAGAUGAACAUGACCAACUGGUGAUACAAAUGAAUAUCUUUGGCCUGUAGUGCAAAGAUGAUUAAAGAUGUAUAUUGAUUGUUAUUACAGGGAUAAACUAUUGAUGAUGGACUUUUAAACCUUAGAAGACAGUAGAAUUCUUUCUCUACGUGACUCUUCUAAUGGAUUGCUGUUUCCGCUGCAUUUGUUGAUCUAAAACUUGUUGUCUAUUGUAUUCUAUUAGAUUUUUCCCUGUUGAAGACUAACGAUAAUUUGUUGUAUAUUAUCUUAGUCAUAAUAUUCUUUACUGGGCUAGUUGAGCUCACCCUUUUCCUUUUUGUUCCAUUUUUCUUCUCAGGAGGUGAGAACAUAGCAGGAUCGAGUCGGGGUAUGGAGUGAUGGUUCUAGGAAGAUGUUUUAGCUGUCCUCACUACUUCUGUAAAAUAGUGUAUGAAUAAUUAAUGAGGACUUAUCUGGGUGUGUAUAUUGUCUAGAAGACAAUAUUUGUAUUCAAACUCACAGUUGUAUUGUCGUAUUCUACACGACAUAUGUAUUAAGUUGUAGUUUGCUUUUUAUACCAUGUAUUUUGGCG
This 1147-nucleotide long non-coding RNA is filed under the name Panax ginseng (ginseng). Its description in RNAcentral is "long non-coding RNA (PGIN_LNC017553)". The record is from RNAcentral. Lineage: Eukaryota; Viridiplantae; Streptophyta; Magnoliopsida; Apiales; Araliaceae.